CCUACGGGCGGCAGCAGUAGGGAAUCUUCCACAAUGGGCGAAAGCCUGAUGGAGCAACGCCGCGUGGGUGAAGAAGGUCUUCGGAUCGUAAAACUCUGUUGUUAGAGAAGAAAGUGCGUGAGAGUAACUGCUCACGUUUCGACGGUAUCUAACCAGAAAGCCACGGCUAACUACGUGCCAGCAGCCGCGGUAAUACGUAGGUGGCAAGCGUUAUCCGGAUUUAUUGGGCGUAAAGGGAACGCAGGCGGUCUUUUAAGUCUGAUGUGAAAGCCUUCGGCUUAACCGGAGUAGUGCAUGGGAAACUGGGAGACUUGAGUGCAGAAGAGGAGAGUGGAACUCCAUGUGUAGCGGUGAAAUGCGUAGAUAUAUGGAAGAACACCAGUGGCGAAAGCGGCUCUCUGGUCUGUAACUGACGCUGAGGUUCGAAAGCGUGGGUAGCAAACAGGAUUAGAUACCCGAGUAGUC
RNAcentral lists this ribosomal RNA (465 nucleotides) under uncultured bacterium. Its description in RNAcentral is "partial 16S ribosomal RNA". It matches the Rfam family "Bacterial small subunit ribosomal RNA", at positions 338 to 795 of the family's 1533-position model. The record is from RNAcentral.